This 564-nucleotide ribosomal RNA is filed under the name uncultured Glomeromycotina. RNAcentral describes it as "SSU rRNA". It matches the Rfam family "Eukaryotic small subunit ribosomal RNA", at positions 548 to 1114 of the family's 1831-position model. The record is from RNAcentral. Lineage: Eukaryota; Fungi; Glomeromycota.
UUGGAGGGCAAGUCUGGUGCCAGCAGCCGCGGUAAUUCCAGCUCCAAUAGCGUAUAUUAAAGUUGUUGCAGUUAAAAAGCUCGUAGUUGAAUUUCGGGAUCAAUAUAUCGGUCAUGCUUAGGUAUGUACUGGUAUUAUUGAUUUCUCCCUUCUGAAGAACCAUGAUGUCAUUAAUUUGAUGUCGUGGGGAAUCAGGACUGUUACUUUGAAAAAAUUAGAGUGUUUAAAGCAGGCAUACGCUUGAAUACAUUAGCAUGGAAUAAUGAAAUAGGACGUUUGAUUCUAUUUUGUUGGUUUCUAGGAUCGACGUAAUGAUUAAUAGGGAUAGUUGGGGGCAUUAGUAUUCAAUUGUCAGAGGUGAAAUUCUUGGAUUUAUUGAAGACUAACUACUGCGAAAGCAUUUGCCAAGGAUGUUUUCAUUAAUCAAGAACGAAAGUUAGGGGAUCGAAGACAAUCAGAUACCGUCGUAGUCUUAACCAUAAACUAUGCCGACUAGGGAUCGGAUGAUGUUAAUUUUUUAAUGACUCAUUCGGCGCCUUACGGGAAACCAAAGUGUUUGGGUUC